GAUGAACGCUGGCGGCGUGCCUAAUACAUGCAAGUCGAGCGAACGGACGAGAAGCUUGCUUCUCUGAUGUUAGCGGCGGACGGGUGAGUAACACGUGGAUAACCUACCUAUAAGACUGGGAUAACUUCGGGAAACCGGAUCUAAUACCGGAUAAUAUUUUGAACCGCAUGGUUCAAAAGUGAAAGACGGUCUUGCUGUCACUUAUAGAUGGAUCCGCGCUGCAUUAGCUAGUUGGUAAGGUAACGGCUUACCAAGGCAACGAUGCAUAGCCGACCUGAGAGGGUGAUCGGCCACACUGGAACUGAGACACGGUCCAGACUCCUACGGGAGGCAGCAGUAGGGAAUCUUCCGCAAUGGGCGAAAGCCUGACGGAGCAACGCCGCGUGAGAGAUGAAGGUCUUCGGAUCGUAAAACUCUGUUAUUAGGGAAGAACAUAUGUGUAAGUAACUGUGCACAUCUUGACGGUACCUAAUCAGAAAGCCACGGCUAACUACGUG
This 497-nucleotide ribosomal RNA is filed under the name uncultured bacterium. RNAcentral's name for it is "partial 16S ribosomal RNA". It matches the Rfam family "Bacterial small subunit ribosomal RNA", at positions 28 to 507 of the family's 1533-position model. The record is from RNAcentral.